GGUCCUUCCCAUAACCCGGACGGGAACGAAAAAGGAGGAACGUCCCGCCGGCCGGCGGUGCGGCAAUGCGGAGAGUUGCCGUAAGGUCCCCGGGACAGCCCCGGGCGGCGAGACCGGGCUUGCCCAGGCAGUCCGGCCACGGCCCACGCCUAUGGCA
RNAcentral lists this non-coding RNA (157 nucleotides) under chicken gut metagenome. Its description in RNAcentral is "malK-I RNA". It matches the Rfam family "malK-I RNA". The record is from RNAcentral.